Centruroides sculpturatus (bark scorpion) is the source of this 368-nucleotide long non-coding RNA. RefSeq lists it as uncharacterized. Lineage: Eukaryota; Metazoa; Arthropoda; Arachnida; Scorpiones; Buthidae. The transcript has 3 exons. The record is from RefSeq and is a predicted model, not a curated record.
UAGCUUCAGGAGUAUGUAUUUCCACGACGCUGGCCGGUGUCAAACUCGAAACAAGUUCUUUAUCCGUAAUUUCUUCAAACUUAGAGGAAUCUUCAACUGCUUCGCUAAUUGACCCAGAAUGAGACUCAAAUCUGCAACUCCCGUUUAUCAUGCUGGCACGUUGCCAGUUACGAAAUGGCAUCUUAAUCGCCUAGAGAGCUACAAAUACUAUGCAGCUGCAUUUCCAUUUUCAUCUGCAUAUAGAGCAAGCUAGAUAUGUUGCAAGGAUAUAGAACUACUGAACAACAGGAAAGCUAGAUACGAUGCAUGGAAAUACAUCUCAGUAUAUGUACAUGGAAACACUGUUCAGCAGCUAUAUUUCCAAGCCC